GCGGCGUGCUAAUACAUGCAAGUCGAACGCUUUGUCUUUAAUUGAUAUGAAGAGCUUGCUCUGAUUUGAUUUUAUCUGACAAAGAGUGGCGAACGGGUGAGUAACACGUGGGUAACCUACCUCUUAGCAGGGGAUAACAUUUGGAAACAAGUGCUAAUACCGUAUAACACUAACAACCGCAUGGUUGUUAGUUGAAAGAUGGUUCUGCUAUCACUAAGAGAUGGACCCGCGGUGCAUUAGCUAGUUGGUAAGGUAAUGGCUUACCAAGGCGAUGAUGCGUAGCCGAGUUGAGAGACUGAUCGGCCACAAUGGGACUGAGACACGGCCCAUACUCCUACGGGAGGCAGCAGUAGGGAAUCUUCCACAAUGGGCGCAAGCCUGAUGGAGCAACGCCGCGUGUGUGAUGAAGGGUUUCGGCUCGUAAAACACUGUUAUAAGAGAAGAACGACAUUGAGAGUAACUGUUCAGUGUGUGACGGUAUCUUAUCAGAAAGGAACGGCUAAAUACGUGCCAGCAGCCGCGGUAAUACGUAUGUUCCAAGCGUUAUCCGGAUUUAUUGGGCGUAAAGCGAGCGCAGACGGUUAUUUAAGUCUGAAGUGAAAGCCCUCAGCUCAACUGAGGAAGGGCUUUGGAAACUGGAUAACUUGAGUGCAGUAGAGGAAAGUGGAACUCCAUGUGUAGCGGUGAAAUGCGUAGAUAUAUGGAAGAACACCGGUGGCGAAAGCGGCUUUCUGGACUGUAACUGACGUUGAGGCUCGAAAGUGUGGGUAGCAAACAGGAUUAGAUACCCUGGUAGUCCACACCGUAAACGAUGAGUGCUAGAUGUUCGAGGGUUUCCGCCCUUGAGUGUCGCAGCUAACGCAUUAAGCACUCCG
This 875-nucleotide ribosomal RNA is filed under the name Weissella thailandensis. Its description in RNAcentral is "bacterial SSU rRNA". It matches the Rfam family "Bacterial small subunit ribosomal RNA", at positions 39 to 871 of the family's 1533-position model. The record is from RNAcentral. Lineage: Bacteria; Bacillati; Bacillota; Bacilli; Lactobacillales; Lactobacillaceae.